UAUUCAAAAAUUCAUCCUUUUGCACUAUUUAAAAUUGGUGUAGUUGACAAAAUAACCAUACAGUGACAUGUGACGUGCCACAUAUACUUCAAGCUGUUGUACUUGGACCAGUUUUUAACAGUAGAAAUGGAUAAAAAUUUUACCA
Gossypium hirsutum (cotton) is the source of this 145-nucleotide non-coding RNA. NCBI's taxonomy places the organism in Eukaryota, Viridiplantae, Streptophyta, Magnoliopsida, Malvales, Malvaceae. The record is from Rfam.